GGCAGCGUAGCUCAGUUGGUUAGAGCGUAGGACUCAUAAGCCUAAGGUCACAGGUUCGAUCCCUGUCGCUGCUACCA
RNAcentral lists this transfer RNA (77 nucleotides) under Candidatus Saccharimonadota bacterium. RNAcentral's name for it is "tRNA-Met". It matches the Rfam family "tRNA". From Rfam's summary of the family: Transfer RNA (tRNA) molecules are approximately 80 nucleotides in length. Their secondary structure includes four short double-helical elements and three loops (D, anti-codon, and T loops). Further hydrogen bonds mediate the characteristic L-shaped molecular structure. tRNAs have two regions of fundamental functional importance: the anti-codon, which is responsible for specific mRNA codon recognition, and the 3' end, to which the tRNAs corresponding amino acid is attached (by aminoacyl-tRNA synthetases). tRNAs cope with the degeneracy of the genetic code in two manners: having more than one tRNA (with a specific anti-codon) for a particular amino acid; and 'wobble' base-pairing, i.e. permitting non-standard base-pairing at the 3rd anti-codon position. RNAcentral also lists the same sequence under 2 other names. Lineage: Bacteria; Candidatus Saccharimonadota. The record is from RNAcentral.